This 69-nucleotide transfer RNA is filed under the name Ictidomys tridecemlineatus (thirteen-lined ground squirrel). Its description in RNAcentral is "Spermophilus tridecemlineatus (thirteen-lined ground squirrel) tRNA". It matches the Rfam family "tRNA". Rfam says of the family: Transfer RNA (tRNA) molecules are approximately 80 nucleotides in length. The record is from Rfam by way of RNAcentral. Lineage: Eukaryota; Metazoa; Chordata; Mammalia; Rodentia; Sciuridae.
GGGGAUGUGGCUCAGUGACAGAGUGCUUGCCUGGAAAGCAUGCGGCCCUGGGUUCAAUCCCUGGCACCA